UAAUAUUACGGUCUAAUGUUUUUUUGUUUUGUCUCUUUUUCUGUUGCUAGGAAAGUGGUGAGAAGAUGUCGAUGAUGCCUACUUGGGACAUUCAAAUCAACACAACAUAAAAAUUUACCUAUGUCUCAUAGGAGAGUGGAAUGAACUCCAUUGUUAGCAGAUGUGCCAUUGUUCUAUUGUGCAAUUUUGUCCGUUCUUGCUAUAUUCUUGUGUAAGGAAAUGUAUUCAUAAGAUGAGUUAUUGUGUUAUGUAAAC
RNAcentral lists this long non-coding RNA (255 nucleotides) under Hordeum vulgare. RNAcentral's name for it is "long non-coding RNA (HVUL_LNC009702)". The record is from RNAcentral. Lineage: Eukaryota; Viridiplantae; Streptophyta; Magnoliopsida; Poales; Poaceae.